GUUAAACGGAAUCCGAUCCGCCCUCACGGGUGGUUGAAGAUCCUUGUGGGCUAGCAACCCCUAAACACAUUUGACCUCGGAUCA
Molecule: ribosomal RNA, 84 nt
Filed under: Morchella esculenta
Lineage: Eukaryota; Fungi; Ascomycota; Pezizomycetes; Pezizales; Morchellaceae
Description: partial 28S ribosomal RNA
Source: RNAcentral